Molecule: ribosomal RNA, 511 nt
Filed under: uncultured bacterium
Lineage: Bacteria
Description: partial 16S ribosomal RNA
Rfam family: Bacterial small subunit ribosomal RNA
Source: RNAcentral
GAUGAACGCUGGCGGCGUGCCUAACACAUGCAAGUCGAACGAAACUUCUUUAUUACCGAGUGCUUGCACUCACCGAUAAAGGGUUGAGUGGCGAACGGGUGAGUAUCACGUUGGCAAUAUGCCCGAGAGAGGGGGAUAACACUCGGAAACAGGUGCUAAUACCGCAUAACCAUAGUUAGCGCAUGGGAACUAUGUAAAAGUUGGCUAUACUACCCCUGUUGGUGGGGCACGCGCCGCAGUAGCCAGCUGGGAGGGUAAAGGCUUACCGAGGGAAUGAUGCGUAGCCGAAUUGAGAGGGUGAGCGGGCACAAUGGGGUUGAGAGACGGCCCAAGACCCUGCGGGAGGCAGGAGUAGGGCGGCUGGCACAAGGGGCGAAAGCCUGACGGAGGGACGCCGCGUGGGGGAAGGAGGUCGUCGGAUCGUAGAACCCUGUUGUUAGAGAAGAAAGUGCGUCUGAGUAACUGGUCAUGUUUCGACGGUACCAAACCAGAAGGCCACGGCUACCUACGG